GAUCCUGGCUCAGGAUGAACGCUAGCGGGAGGCCUAACACAUGCAAGUCGAACGGGAUUGAGAGCUUGCUCUCAUGAGAGUGGCGCACGGGUGAGUAACGCGUAUGCAACCUACCCUUUACAGGGGAAUAGCCCGUCGAAAGGCGGAUUAAUGCCCCAUGGACCUUUAUGAAGGCAUCUUCGUGAAGGUAAAGAUUCAUCGGUAAGGGAUGGGCAUGCGUGCCAUUAGCUGGAUGGUGGGGUAACGGCCCACCAUGGCGACGAUGGCUAGGGGUUCUGAGAGGAAGGCCCCCCACACUGGGACUGAGACACGGCCCAGACUCCUACGGGAGGCAGCAGUGAGGAAUAUUGGUCAAUGGGCGAAAGCCUGAACCAGCCAUGCCGCGUGCGGGAAGAAGGCGCUACGCGUCGUAAACCGCUUUUGUCCGGGGGUAACCGUGGGGACGUGUCCCCACCUGCAAGUACCGGACGAAUAAGGGUCGGCUAACUCCGUGCCAGCAGCCGCGGUAAUACGUAGGUGGCAAGCGUUGUCCGGAAUUACUGGGUGUAAAGGGAGCGUAGGCGGGAAAAUAAGUUGAAUGUUAAAUCUAUGGGCUUAACCCAUAUCAGCGUUCAAAACUGUUUUUCUUGAAUGAAGUAGAGGCAGGCGGAAUUCCUAGUGUAGCGGUGAAAUGCGUAAAUAUUAGGAGGAACACCAGUGGCGAAGGCGGCCUGCUGGGCUUUAAUUGACGCUGAGGCUCGAAAGCGUGGGUAGCAAACAGGAUUAGAUACCCUGGUAGUC
RNAcentral lists this ribosomal RNA (780 nucleotides) under uncultured bacterium. RNAcentral describes it as "bacterial SSU rRNA". It matches the Rfam family "Bacterial small subunit ribosomal RNA", at positions 15 to 795 of the family's 1533-position model. The record is from RNAcentral.